This is an RNA transcript of Myotis lucifugus (little brown bat), 2469 nucleotides long. It is a transcript of the gene named proline rich 16, with no coding region annotated. The record is from RefSeq and is a predicted model, not a curated record. The transcript has 3 exons. Lineage: Eukaryota; Metazoa; Chordata; Mammalia; Chiroptera; Vespertilionidae.
CGCGCGUCUCGGGGAGUUGAUGGCAGCACCACAGUGCGGCCGCCGGGCGAGGCGCCGAGCGCAGCCACCCCCGCCGCGCAGAGUGCUUCCAAGAUGCUGGGCGAUUGGGGCGGCAGCGGUCGCAGCAGCGCCAGGGACGGGGGCGCGCAGCACCUCCGCUUGCCCCCCUCCGCUGACCUGCCUCGUUUGGCCCCAAAGAAUGUCCUCCAAGUCCAAGGGGACCCCCUCCUCGUCCUCUCUCGCCGAGGGACCGCCGGCAGGCUCCAAGACCAAGGUGAAGGAACAGAUCAAGAUCAUCGUGGAGGAUCUGGAGUUAGUCCUGGGCGACCUGAAGGACGUGGCCAAGGAACUUAAGGAGGUGGUUGACCAGAUUGAUACCCUGACCUCUGACCUACAGCUGGAGGAUGAGAUGACCGACAGCUCCAAAACGGACACCCUGAAUAGUAGCUCAAGCAGCACGACAGCCUCCAGCCUAGAGAAGAUCAAAGUGCAGGCCAAUGCACCACUCAUUAAACCCCCAGCACACCCAUCUGCUAUCCUCACGGUCCUGAGAAAGCCAAACCCUCCACCGCCUCCACCGAGGUUGACACCCGUGAAGAGUGAAGACCCCCAAAGGGUGGCGCCCGCUGUCAAUCCUGUAAAGACCAAUGGCACCCUUCUGCGGAAUGGUGGCUUACCAGGAGCACCAAACAAAAUCCCCAAUGGAGACAUCUGCUGCACACCCGGUAGCAACUCGGACAAGGCGCCCGUGCAGCCUCUGAUGCAUAGACCUGAAAAAGACAGGUGUCCCCAGGCAGGGCCUCGGGAAAGGGUUCGGUUUAAUGAAAAAGUGCAGUACCAUGGCUAUUGUCCUGACUGUGAGACCCGGUAUAACAUAAAAAACCGGGAGGUCCAUUUGCACAGUGAACCUGUCCAGCCGCCAGGAAAGCUUCCUCCCCAAGGCCCUCCCCGCCCUCCUCCACCGCAUCUCCCUCCAUUUCCACUGGAAAAUGGGGGACCCGGAAUAAGCCACAGUAACAGCUACCCCCCUCUCAGACCUGCAACUGUGCCUCCUCCCACUGCACCAAAACCACAGAAGACGAUCUUGAGGAAAUCAACCACUACAACAGUGUGAUGUAUGCCAUUUAAAAACACUUUUUAUUUUAUUUUCAUUUUUAUAUUAUAAACAUAAUAAGUAAUGAGCACUUUCUACUCAAGCAAUAAAAAGCCCAAAUAUAUUAAUCCUGCAUUCAGCAAAGUGGCAUAAAAAUCACCUGCUCCUUCAGAUUGGAAGGAAAUCUUUAUUUGGAGGCAUGUCAGCUCAUUUUUCUCACUUCAGAUUCAUCAUUAUGACUUCUUGAGGCCAGAUGUAAUUUUGAAAUAACCAGGAACUUGUCCAUCUCAGAGCAGCAAAUUCCCUCAACUUUGGAGCACAAGUGAUUACUGAUAUGGUCUGCAUAAAAUCAUCUGCCUCUAGUCUGACAGCCAUGAGCAGAGCCCUAGGGGUGAAAAAAAGCCACAGCCUUAAAUCUCUUCACUCAGAAAUUAUCAAGAAGAUUUAAAAAAUAUAUAUAUGAAAAGGACUAAAUAAUUCAGCCAACAAAAAACAGAAACCAAACAAAACCCAUCUUCCUUCACCAUGAAAAUAAAUAUUCCCAGAUGUGAACCCAUGAAAAUGUAUAUUCGGCAGUUAAGCUAGUAAAUUAUUAUCAAUUGAUUUAUCAUUUGGGAAGGUAAAAUAGAGAUAGGAAAUAUCUCUAGUCAGAAUUACUCAGCAUUUCAAAAUAAAUAUGUAGACAAAAAUAAACUGAACAAACAGAGGAGCAUUGCAGCAAUGAACAGUAGUAUUAGGACAGAAUGUUGCUGUUUGCAGAGAGGAUGUUUGCCAUCUUGUGUAUACCCUUAAAGCCAUAAUGGAAUAACAGCAUUAUUGUCAAUUGCUUGAAAUGUUUCUGCAUUCAGUCCUUCACUCCAUAUUGUUUGAGAGAGGGGGGAAGUCAGUCUUACUGAUUAUUUCUCAAUGCACUUCUAAUAUUUGCACUGUCACUUCCAUUCAGGGUAAUGAUGUGUGCUGUUAUUUGCACAGAUGGUCCCAUGAGUUUUGAGACCACAACAAGCAGUUUCUUGCAGGAGUCCAAAAAGGAAACACUUAAGAAUUCUGCAGACAUUGAUUUCUCUUCUAUAAAAAUCAGUUAUCUAAAAAAAAAAGGUUUGUCUCAGAUUAAAAUAAUAACUAUAGAAUAAUAACAAAAAAGCAUCAGUGUGGUCAAAUGAAUGAAAAAGGGAUCAAAUUUUUUUAAUGAAGAUCAUUUUAUAUCAUUAACAGCCAAGAAGUCAAAUACAGUGAACUGUACACUAAACUUUUGUGUUGAACAUCUAUUUGUUCUCUGAAUUAAAAAAAUCAUUUGUAAUUUGUAUUUGACAUAUAACAACAGUUUUUUAUAGCCAUUUAUCUAUGCUUCAUGGGAUAAUGUACCAGACAAACAGCAU